UUGCGCAUGCGUCGGCAUACAUUCGCUAGUCGGCAUUUUAGAGUACUCGCUUGUAUCGAUUUUUCAAGUUAGACCCAAAUCGAUUCCAUAGAAGUAAUCCUAAGCAGUCUCGGAGUUAGUUUAUUUGGCUUUUUACCGAGUGCACUCGCAAUCCCUUUCCCAAUUAACGAAUAGGAUCACUAAUGGUUUUGUUGGGUUAGGUUAGGUUCCCGUAGCCGAGUGCACUCGCUAAUGGUCUUUGGAAUUGCUUUGGGUUCUCUAUAACAAAACACGAAUGGCGACCACUCUCGUAAAUGGAAUGCCUGGAAUGUCGACAAGCAAUUGACUUCGCUAACCAAAAAGAGGGAUUCCCUAGUUAAUUGACUUUAGCUAACUCAGAAAAGAAAUCAAACCCACCUGGAGCAGGUAAUUCAUCUUGCUGAAGGCCAAAGCGGGAAUAAGCAUCGAUGUUUUCUCAACUCUGCAAUGUUUGUCUAUUGUGCUCGCUCUGCAUGACAUGUACAGUUGAACUUGUUGCUUUGGGGAAAAGAGUGAAGGAUUAUUUCCACCUAGUAACCAUCAUGUGUGGUCGUGGGAAUCCCCGCGAUUUUUGUCCAAACGCCAGCUGCCGUUGGAAAACAUUCUGCAUAAUAGCGUGCCUUUAGUAUUUUUUUUUGUCUGAAAACGACGAAAUACCUUGGGCGUUCCAUAUGAAUAACGGUUAUUCAACGUUUAACUCUGAGAGAGAAAGGGUUAUCUCUGAAUUAAUAUCGAAAUUCGCCGAGUCACGCAUUUGGGUUAAAUAUCCUCUGUUAAUUAAAUCCUAACGAAAAUCUAUUUUUGAUUUGAACUUUCAGUCUAUUUUAUUUCCCAAACAUCACCAAAAAUCCGUGUUCCGUUAGGUUACCUUGGAAUGUUAUUUUUUUUUGUUAACACUUCCUUAUCAACUUUUUUGGAAGGUUUCCAUGACCAGUAUUCAAGAAUGGUUGUUUUCUUAGUUGAAGCAGGCGGAGUGUUAUGUUUCUUGGGUCAUUGUAGACUUAGAAAUGCCAAAUACAGUAUAGUCUCCUUUUAUCCAAGUUGGAACCUGUUAUAUUUUGACAGUUGGGAGAGUCCACUCCAAAAACAUGAAGUAGAUUGUUUGAAAGCAUUCACACGAAAAAGAGCAUCUGUCGACUACGGUACUACCAACAUGCUUCCGCUAAGAGAGUUAAGCAUCGCCCUGACGUCGCUGAUUUCAUGGAUUAUGUUCAACGAUACACCUAGCGAUCCUGUAGGAUAUGCCCGCGACACAUCGGUCAUACGUGCCGAAUAUGAUUUUAUUAUCAUUGGCGCUGGAGCUGCCGGCGCUGUAAUUGCUAAUCGCCUAAGUGAAGUGGCCGAUUGGAAUAUUUUAUUGCUGGAAGCGGGAGGAGAUGAGACUAUACUUGGACAAAUACCACUCUUCGCUGCUAGCUUGCAAUUGACGAAUAUGGAUUGGCAGUACAAAACAGAGCCUCAGGACAAUGCUUGCCAAGGAUAUGCUAAUCGCAAGUGCAACUGGCCCCGGGGUAAGAUGUUGGGCGGAAGCUCCUCCCUCAACUAUAUGCUUUACGUUCGAGGAAACAAACUAGACUACGACAACUGGAGGGAUAUUUACGGAUGUGACGGCUGGGGAUACGACGAUGUUUUACCAUAUUUUGUCAAAUCGGAAGACAAUCAAAAUCCUUUCCUCGCCGGAACCAAAUAUCACGGCAAAGGCGGUUAUUUGUCGGUUGGCGAACCUGCCUUCCGUUCGCCAUUAGGUGCCGCAUUCAUCCAAGGCGGAGUGGAAAUGGGAUACAAAAAUCGGGACUGCAACGGCGAAUUCCAGACUGGUGUUAUGUUUCCACAGGGAACAAUCCGCCGUGGAACUCGUUGUUCCACCUCCAAAGCAUUUUUACAUCCAGCCCGCAAACGAAAGAAUCUUCACAUCUCACUGAAUUCGCGUGUGUUAAAGGUUGUCAUCGAUCCCGUUACGAAAGUGGCUACGGAUGUGCAGUUUGAAAAAGGUGGCCGAAUGUACUUCGUCAGUUCCAAAAAAGAAAUUGUGUUAUCUGCCGGAAGUAUUGCGUCUCCGCAAAUUCUCAUGUUGAGUGGAGUCGGCCCAAAAGAUCAUCUGGAAGAGAAAGGAAUAAGUCCGGUCAUUGCCGAUCUUCCUGUCGGAGAGAACUUGCAUGACCACGUCGGGAUAAUUGGAAUGGUUUUCCUUAUUAACGAACCAUACUCCGUUCUUACCUCUAGACUGCUGUCAUUUCCAGUACUUCUCAAUUACACUAUCUUCGGUGGAACUGCCAUGUCUCUGUUGGGUGGGGUGGAAGGACUUGGUUUUAUCAAUUCGAAAUACGCGAAAGCGGAAGCUGAUUAUCCCGACAUACAGUUGCAUUUCGGUUCGGGUAGUGAAAUAUCUGACGAUGGUAGCUCUUUGCGUUACGCCCAUGGAUUUACGGAUGAAGUUUGGAAUGCAUACUACAAGCCAAUAAUGAAAAAGGAUACUUGGACCAUCUUCCCCUACAAUUUGCGGCCAAAGUCUCGUGGAUACAUUCGUCUCAAUUCCAAAGAUCCUUACGACAAACCCCUCAUUAAUCCAAACUACUUUUCAGAUCCCCUCAAAGAGGAUAUCAAAGUUACUGUCGAGGCUAUUAAGUUCGCCUUAGCUCUCAGCAAAACGGAAGCCUUUCAAAAAAUGGGUUCCAGGUUUUACGACAAACCUUUCCCAGGAUGCGAAGAUAAGGCACUUUGGACGGAUGAUUAUUGGGAGUGUUGGAUCAAGAGCGCUAGUUUCACCUUGGCACAUACAGUUGGCACUUGCAAAAUGGGUUCUGUCUUGGAUGACACGGUCGUCGUCGAUCCUCAACUGAAAGUCAAAGGAAUAAAACACCUCCGAGUUGCUGAUACAUCCGUCAUGCCGGCUGUGCCCAGUGGAAAUACAAACGCACCAACGAUAAUGGUAGGAGAAAAGGCCGCAGACUUGAUAAAAAAUGACUGGUUAUAACGGAGAAGUUGCCUCCUCGAACUUAUAUUUGAAUCACCAAUGAUUAAUUAUUUACUAGCUUCUGAAUUUGUUACAAAAUCAUAAGUCCAAUCAACUAUUAUUUACUUCGAUUUCAAUUGAUACACUUAUUGUGGUAAGGCCUAAACGAAUUAAUUGUUCUCACUUUACAAGGUAGGACGAAAGAAAAACAGAAGAAAAUUUAAACAUUUUUGUAUUGACUUUGACUGAAUUAUCAAUUACGCUUCAUUUAAUAAUUUCUGUUUUUGAGCAGCGGUCAACUUAUUGAUAAGGGAAAUGAAAUUUCGUUUUUCCAUAAGCGGAUGAAUUUAUUCACCAGCAUUGAAUAAAUUUCAAACACGUUAUUGGAGUACCGGUACUGCAUUUCAUGUUUGUUGUUUGUUCUUUCGAAAAAUGACCUGCAAUUAGUAGUAUGGUAUUCUAGCUAGCGGUGAGAAUACAGUACCGGUACUUAAGUUGAUUUUUUAAAUAAUUCAUAAAAUGGUCAUUGCACAUUGUGUUACCGCUAUCAACGAGGAAUUCAAUACCUCAAUCAGUAAUCGAUCCUAAUAGGAAAACAGCGACGGGAGUUCAUCCCGUACUUUUUGCGGCCAAAGUCUCGAGGAAACAUUCGGCUGGCUUCAAGCGAUCCUUACGACAAAGCCCUCAUCAAUCCAAACUAUUUUUCGGAUGCCGACGACUACGAUGUAUAAAAGUGACCGUCGAAUCCGUCUCUAUAUCUAAAUCUCCUAUUUUUAUCUUUUAUAGUAUACCGUUACUAGUUAGGUAACGGUAACCGUAUAGUGAAAACACGGAAAAGACUGCAAGCCAUAAACUUAACGAAUCGCCUAGGAAUAAACCCUGAGGUCAUUUUAUGCGCGCACUUGUAAAAUUAGUCGAGAAUUACCCUAAAGGUGUUUUUGAUCCAUGAAAAACGGCAAAUGG
Molecule: unclassified non-coding RNA, 3934 nt
Filed under: Daphnia pulex (common water flea)
Lineage: Eukaryota; Metazoa; Arthropoda; Branchiopoda; Diplostraca; Daphniidae
Description: glucose dehydrogenase [FAD, quinone]-like, transcript variant X1
Source: RNAcentral